RNAcentral lists this long non-coding RNA (8286 nucleotides) under Diabrotica virgifera virgifera (western corn rootworm). RNAcentral's name for it is "uncharacterized LOC126880457". The record is from RNAcentral. Lineage: Eukaryota; Metazoa; Arthropoda; Insecta; Coleoptera; Chrysomelidae.
UUUUUCGAGGAAAACUUAAAUAAUCUUUUUUCAAGCAUACAAUUAGACCUUUCAAAAAAAAAAUAAUAAAAAGUUUCUAGCAUGAAAAUUAAGCGACUUACAAAAAAAAUGUCGGUACCUGCUUUUCUCUACGAAAAAAUCAGUGAAAACAUCUCCCUAACUACCUUCCUAAUUCAAAAUUGGUCUUCAUCUUUCUGUAGUUCCUAUUAUAUUUAUAUUAUCAAUACACUUAAGGAGUUUGACCUAUUUAAAAUGACUAAUUUUGGAGAAGUUGGAGUUUAAAAAAAAUUGAUAUUUUGCAAUUUGGUAUUUUUUACCUUUUACUUCAAAAUAUCUCCGAAAAUUAUGAAAAAAAUUAUAUACUACUAAAUUGUAGCUUUUUUAAUAACUAAAAUUACCCUGUACAUAGAUUUUCAUUACACUGAAUAGUUAGCCAGAUAUAGCUGUUUAAAUCCUCCAUUUACCAGCAAACACCCCCUUAUUCGAGCCCUUUAAACCCGCCCCAAUUAAAAUCUAAGGCAUCUUACGGAAUUUAAUUUACACAGUCUUACAACUCUUUAAAAACCCUACAAAAUCAUUUUUAAGGGGUCUCAUUACUGAGAGGGUAUCAAAGUUGCUUUCCUACGAAGGUAAUUAAAUCCAUUUACUAAGGCUGAAAAUCAGUACACAGUGAGAUAUAAUAUUUUUCCAAAAUUAGGCAUUUUAAAUAGGUCAAACUCCUUGAGUGUAUUGAUAAUAUAAAUGAAAAAGGAACUACAGAAAGAUGAAGACCAAUUUUGAAUUAGGAAGGUAGUUAGGGGGUUGUUUUCACUGAUUUUUUCGUAAAGAAAAGCAGGUACCGACAUUUUUUUGAUUAAAGUCGCUUAAUUUUCAUGCUAGAAACUUUUUAUUAUUUUUUUUAAAGGUCUAAUUGUAUGCUUGAAAAAAUAUUAUUUAAGUUUUCCUCGAAAAAUGCAAAUUUUUCCCAUUAUUUGGCUUUCAAUAUUUCAAAUUGUGCAUUUGACGAAAAAAGCUCACCUUUAACAUGCCGUAUCUCGGUUUGUAUUGGUCUUAAAGAUAUUAUUGAAAAAGAAUUUGGUUUGUGUUAAUAAAAGAUACAAUUUUGGUAUCCACAGUUUUUUUGAUUAAAUGCAUAUCUUUCGAGGUAUUCUCAAAAAACCCUCUAAAAAAGUCGAUUUUUUCGUCGAAAAACUGUUAUUUUCAAGCGCGAAUAACUCGAAAAAUAUUAGUUUUACGAAGAAAAUGUAAAAAACAUUUUUUUCUUAGAAUCACUUUUUCCAUCGAAUUACAUGGUUAAAAUGUAAUAAAAAAUUCCCACCCUCGAGAUGGGGUAGCAACCACCCCCAAGGUUUUAGCGUAUGAUAGCGGCGUAAUAUAGAAAAUGAUCCUUGGACUAUUCCAUACCGUCUGUGGAAAUUUCAAGUAAAUCCAUGGUGGACGAAAAAAUUGCGAGCCAAAAUGCUUCAUUUCCUUAAUCGACUAUUGGGCCCGACCGACCGGCUCUGUCCCGUCAUACAGCUGACCGACUUUAAUAACUUUUAUUUAUAUUUAAUUUAGAAUGUGUGUACUGAUUUUCAGCCUUAGUAAAUGGAAAUAAUUACCUUCGUAGGAAAGCAACUUUGAUACCCUCUCAGUAACCCCUGUUCUACGUUUCGCUUGACCGACCGCAGUAUGUUUCUCUACACACUCACAGUAAUCAACUGUGAAAAAUCUAGCUUUAGUAAAUUCAAAUAGAUUUUUCUGCGCUGCCUCUCCGUCUAUUAGUGUAAAGGGACUUUCCGGCCACCCUAUAGAUGCAGUGCAGUUCUGCUCGGAAUUUGUCUAACCGCAGACGACACUGUCGCUGCAGUCUGUGGUUUGCGGUCUGAAGUCUGCAGUCACUUUCGGAAUCAUACCUUUAUACUAAUGGUUAUGAAAAAGAGGUCGAUACUCACAAUCUUCAUCAGGCCACCAAUACAAAAGUCUUUGCUUCAGUUAUGGGGAGAAAUCUUGUGCUCUGUAAAUGUUGCCCUACCAUAUAUGGGCUCUUACUACAGGCACGGGCGUUGGGGGCAGUCCGUAAAAAAAUGUAUCCUUAAAAAAACUGGAAAACGUCAGAUUAAGACAAGGUAAGUUAAGUAAUCAAGAACAGUGUAUAUUUCAAAAAUCUGACGAUUUGAGCGGGGCGUACCCAAGCAGCAAUUUGUCGACGCGACAACGCUGUCUACCGCGUGGCAACGUUUUGUUACAACGUUGUUAUUGCCUAGAAGACGACCCUAUUCUGCACUAAUUUGGUGGACGAUUUUUGAGUUAUUUUGACGUUGCCCGCGCAGUCUAUGUUUAAGCAACAUCGUUUCGCAAACGUUCCAUAAGACAACUGGAGCGACUAUAAAAAGCGCCUACGUGCAAUGACUGUUCAAACAGUCGGACUGGUUAUGUAUUUAUACCUAUAUUUUUAACACCUGUGUGGUGACUGCGAAAACCAAAAAGUAAACUAUUGUGCGAAGAUGUAGGUGUUGUUGUCCUUACACUUCGUCCUGGUGGCGUAUUUACGUUUCCGUGUUCAUUUAAAGACCGGGUAGUUUUGAAAUCGGCACGUAAACGGCGGAGCAUAUCUGCUUUCAAACACGUGUGCAUUUCAAGACGUUUAAUUUUGAAAUGCGCACUAGUUUGUAAAAGAACUUCGCGCCUAAAAUUAUCACAAAUACGUGUUAAGUUGUAACAUUAUUUUAUUUUAUUUGAACUGUUUAUCACAAAUAGCUCCUAUCUGCAGAAUAACAAAUUAUCAUUCAUUGGAUCUGUGGAAGUAAAACAAUUUUGUUACCAAAGUUACCUUCUUUUUUUCUUUAUAAUUUUUCAAAAGACUCAAAGUAGUGCCAAAAUAUCCUGUCAAAGUAAACUAUUACGAUACGUAUACAUUUUGUAGUAAUGUACAACAAUAUAGGUACUAAAAGUGUUGUGUAUAUUAAAAACAUAUUUUAGUUACAGCUAAACAAUUAUUGUUCAGCAAACAUAUUUUUAGCUAUUUUUAAAGCUAUUUUUAAGGAAGAACAGGGUAUAUCAAUAAACGGAAAAUUCUUGAAAAACACAAGAUUCGCAGACUACACCGCUAUUUUUGCAGACACUUUAGAAGCACUGCAACGAGUAGUACCUAAAUAGAUUACAUCAAGUCAUUAUAAAAUAUGGACUAUGAAUGAACGUUAAGAAAAAAAAGUUCAUGAUUAAUUCUAAGCAACAUACAAUAGGAAGGCUAGAUAUCGAGGGAAAACAAGUAGAAAGAGUGAAUAACUACAAAUAUCUGGGAACCUGGGUAAGAGAAAACAACGACCAAGGUAGAAAAAUCAGGACACGAAUCGAAAUUGCAAGAAAAGCAUUUAUAAAAAUGAAAAAAAUGUUUGUUAAUCGAGACCUUUCUCUGGAGCUGAGAAUAAGAGCCUUAACAUGCUACCUGUUCUCAACUUUUUUGUAUGGAAUGGAAAGAUGGACACUGAAAGUAGACAACAUAAAGAAGUUGGAAGCAUUUGAGAUAUGGUGGAAUAGAAGGAUUUUGAAAAUACCAUGGAUCCAACGAGUUACGAAUGCAACUUAAAUAAUUUACUUAAACUUAAAUACACAACACGACCCUCAAAGCUAAGUUGAUAAAUAGCACGUGCAACGAUUAGUAGACCUGUUAGUUCUAUGCACUUGUUUGUAGAAUUCCAACGUCACAUGUUUCGGUACAAACCCGUGCACAUUUCGGGGGUUGGCUCUUUCAAAUCAACACCUUUUUGGAACUAGAUAUGUCAAAACUGCAAUGUCUUGAAAUGAACACGCAAACGGAAAUACGCGUCCUGGUGCCUUUGUUUCGCGCACCAGUCAUAGGUCGCUGGUUUUUUCCCCCUGGGAAACUGAAUUUUCUUUCCUUAGGGAACUGGUUUCACUUUUUCUAUACUUAUGCGAAGGACCACCCAAAGCUUUGGGACAAAUGAAAUAUGCGAAAAGAACGUUUUUACUAAGUCUAUUUACUAAAAACAGUUACAACAACGAAAUUUUGGACGCCGAUAGCUUGCUUGCGAUAGCUCAAUAAACGCACUAUGAGCACGAAAACAAAAGAAUUGGUACUAGUUACUCAACACGUAUUAAAGAGUCCGGUUUGCGCGGAACCGAGAGCGUUGAGCUCCAACCUUUCGACUGUCCCAUCUGGCAAUUGCAACUGUACUGUCUCCCGAACACAAGAACACCCCCCAACUUCCGUUCAUCGCAACCGUUUUACUUGACCUUCAGAAUUUCCUUUUUUAGGUAAAGUUUACGUCAGCCGGCUUUCUCGUGAAAUGGGCUGGUUUGGAAUUUUGGAUAACAAAGACAGAGAUAAAAAUUUCUAACUAUGUACUCUCAUUGUUAUAAUUCUUAAAAACGCAUUAGGAUUAUAUUUAGAAAGUUAGUUUGCAAGCACGUAUCGGCAUCCGUACAGAUAAUUGAAUUUUAGGAAAAAAUUUAAAAGUCUAUAUCUUAAAACUAAUAUACUGCGUGAGCGAAAUUAAACUAAUAUUAAACAUUGUUGUUUAGCAACAACUAUUUUGACAUCAUAUUAGGUAUUUAAAUUUAUAUAAAUAAAUAAAGGAUUUAAACAAAAUUACCUGAUGUGAUAUUUAUAAACGCAUCUCAGAUUACCGUCAAAUAUGGAUGGACCUUUUAAAAAACACAUGCGCAUCCUUUUUGACAAAAAAAUGCAAAUUUAAAAAAAUCAAAUUUUAAUAUAAAAUCCAAAAUUUAUGUUAAAGAUGUUCUGUAUAAAUUUAAUGUAUUGAUGGUGCUUUUAAAGGUAUCAGAAAAUGCCUGCAAUUGUUAUAUUUUGUGUUUUUAUUUUCUUUCAUCUCAAAAAAUCUCAAGUAAAAACCAAAAUGGCGCAUUCAACAAUAUUACCAAUAUUACUAAAAAUAUACCUUAUUACCAACCCUAGACGGAUGAUACGGCCGAGAAGUCCGAUCGGCAACCAAACACGGCCGGGCGGACUAUCCCAACCAUUUUAGAACACCCUCUUAUUGGGUGAAAAGUCCUGUGACCAGUGUCAAGUGAAAAUCUAGCAAAGCUGAUACAAAAAUUAAGGUUAUCAAAUCUACUGGUAAAACAAUGGAGAAACCAGCUAUUAAAAAAUCAAAUAGACAGGUUGUUAAAUAAAUCGAAAAUUUCCAGCAAAAUAAAAUAUAAAAUAAUAAGAAAAAAGUAAGGUUAUAUAGUAAAUUCUUCUUCUUCUUCUGAAGUUGCCCCAAACGUGUCACACGUGUAGAACUAUACUUAGGGUCGUGACAGACAACUACCGAGUCGGCCGGAAAACCCAUGGGCGUAGAUUAGUUUAGCAUUAUAACGUUUUUAAGUCGUUGCGAUUGUUGAAAAAACUGAACUGUAAUAAUAUGUAGUUGUCACAAUGAUAAUAAUUUAGUUGCUCAUAUAACUAAAGGUAUUACUUAACGUUGUAACAUCGUAAUGUCACCGGUAACAGGGGUGGGUGGUUGGCCGAAACAACUGACAAUGCACUGCAACGUUAUAUAUAUACAGUGCAUUUGUUUGUACUGACAAUCAAUGCGUCGAAAAAUUGCUACUUGGAUAAGGAAAUGGUCGAGUUACAAAGUUUCACAAAAAGCGAAUAUUUCGCGAAAUUAACAUCAAAUCGAAAAACUGAAAUAUACGUGUUCGAUAUUUUUCAAAAAUCUAUCGAAUGACAUCAAAUAAAACCUCCACGGGGGUCCUUGGCCAAAAUAAUAUUUUUAACCAGCGAGUAGUCGCGCCGUUAGAUAGAAUCUCACAUUUUAUCCUUUUUCGCGAUAACUCAAUGAAAAAUUUUCAACUGAUGUUCUAACAUCAACUCAUUAUCCCUUAACUUCUACUAGUCUUCCAAAAUAAUCUACUUUAACUUUUUCCACAGUUUUUAUUAAAUCGACCAGUCACAACUCUAACACUAUUUGGUCUCUUUCACCCAAUUUCAUAACUUAUCGCCAUUUGAUCAGGUUUUCGUUAUGGGUCCAACUAAACUUCAGAAAAAUAUUUAUAAAAGGUUUUUAUACUAAUUCUUCCACUCUCUUAUCCAUAGGAUGUGGGGUCUGGUUUCUGGGGCGCCCAGCCUUUUUCAUUACACCUCAUUACAGUAAACAAUUCUGAUAUCAAAUCAUAAAUUAUUCACUACCUUCUAAUUUUACACAUAUUGCUUGUUUUCCAAUACACCUUCAUACAUCCAUCCAGUUUUAAACCUUUUCAAUUCAACUCGAUAACUUGGUAUAAAAAAUAAAAAAUAGAAAAAUCCAUAUUUCACAAACAUGUUUAGUCCUAGAUGCCUAUGUUACAUAAAAGGACCUCAUACUUUUGCCAGGUUAUUAGUUCAAUUGAUAUUCUUCUUCACUUCCAAUAUCAACACUCAGGUACCUAUAACCAAUUAAUUCACAUAUCAUUAUAUCAUAUCAGUUUCCUCCUGUGACUCAUACAACUUAUAUUAAUUUCAACACUACUUUAAUAUCAGACUUCCAUUUACUACAGACUCUCUAAUUUACUCUGCCAUUAGUACAAUUAAACCAAACACUCCUUUUAAUUCAUAGUAAAUUAAAUUUUCAACAGCACAGUUGGACUUACUUCAAUUUGAAUAGGAACGGCAUUCAUCAACCUUUGAAUUAUGUAUAGGUGGCUGCAUAGAUUCUGGCUAUUUCUCUAUUUACAUUAUAAAAAUCAUUUCAUGCUCCACGUUCAUCUUACAUAUUCAAGGUCCUUACUUAAAUGUAAUUAUAGCCACAACUUUGUUGAUGUUUGUUAUUACUAUGUUAAUUUUCAUUAUAUAUUUUACUAACAAUUAGUUGGCUGUCGUAAUACAGGGUAAAUUCCACGUCACGUUGUCCAUCUGUCUUUUGACACCUUUCAGAAACAUCACUCAUUUUGCAUUCAGUUGCCAUUAAGUCAUUGAAAUGUGAUCAACUCAAUUUGGAUCCCACGUGUUGGGAAACCUGUAUACUUUACCUUAGGGCAUUAUCCUGUUUGCCAUGUGACCAUCACAUGCCUUUUUAUUGAAGUAUGCACUUUUAAGGCAUCUAUAUUUUAUGUAAAGGGUUUUUACCCAGAUAUUUUCUUUUGUGGCUCAGCUAGCAUCCAGUUUAUCGAACACUGAUGAUGAUUUUUUAUAAAAAUCGAAAACGUUUUGUUGUGAUGUAGCCCUUUUAAGGGAUUUUUAAUAAAACAAAAUUUUAUACCUUUUACAAAGGAUUUCUUUCCAAUUUUUUUAAUAAUUAUUGUUAGAAAUAAUAUUUCUAACAUAGCAAGUAAAUAAAAAUACUAUAAAAAAAAUUUGUUGUAAAUUCCUAUUUAAAUUCGUAUUGUGAGAUGAAAUUUAACACGCGACUGUUCACGUUACAGAAGUGAGCGCGACUACUCCCGGGUUUUAAAAGUGUGUUUGUAAAUUUUUGGUAUGUAAUGUCCAUAUGUAAAACAACUUAGUAUACAGUGAUGAGCGCGCUAAUAACCGGCAAAAUAACGAAAAAGAUGGAAAACAUAAUACAUUGCGAAACAAGAGAUGAAACUCAGGUUUCAGGUGGAAAUUAUCGUUAUAAACGUAUAAAUAUAACAUCACAUUACAUAGUUUCCCACCUUUAGACGUCUGUGACAGGAGUAUUUUAUAAAAUUCGACUGUCACAGUGACAGUUGUCAUAGUCCUCUGAUCUACUCUACUACUCUACUCCUCUGUCAUAGGUACUCCCUAAAGGUGGGAAACUAUGUAAUGUAAUGUUAAUUUAUACGUUUAUAACGAUAAUUUCCACCUCCACUAGUUUCAUCUCUUUUUGUUUCGCAAUGUAUUAUAUUUUCCAUCUUUUGCGUUAUUUUGCCGGUUAUAGGCGUGCUCAUCACUGUAUACAUAUUGCUCCAUAGUUUUUUCAAUAGUUUUCUUAAAUUUUUUUAAUACAAUAUACACAGAAAAUCCCGCAAACCUAAGUAAAUGAGUCCUUUGGAGGAGAAGAUGACAUACACUUGAUCAUCUAUGGUAGCGGAAAAUUCUUUGUAACUGAUAUCUUUUAGUUUUGUUUUUCUAUCAAACAAAGACUUUCGUAUUGCUGGCCUGAUAAUUGGGAACAUAUUGUAAGUCCCGAAACCGGUAGCCCAACCUUUUACCAACAAUAAACUACCUAAGACUGUGAGUGUCAACCUUUUUUUCAUAACCAAUAGUUUAUAAAUAUUUACCACCUCGUUAAAUGAGAUUUUAGAAUUUAGCAGUUAGCUCUCUUAUUGUAUAUAGAAUUAGCUAUUUAAAACAUCGACUGUACUUCUAUUAGUAAUAUAGUAAUUUUGUAAUUGUUA